This 427-nucleotide ribosomal RNA is filed under the name uncultured prokaryote. Its description in RNAcentral is "bacterial SSU rRNA". It matches the Rfam family "Bacterial small subunit ribosomal RNA", at positions 355 to 774 of the family's 1533-position model. The record is from RNAcentral.
UGGGGAAUUUUGGACAAUGGGCGCAAGCCUGAUCCAGCCAUGCCGCGUGAGUGAAGAAGGCCUUCGGGUUGUAAAGCUCUUUCAGGUGGAAAGAAAACGCAUGGGUCAAUACCCUGUGUGGAUGACGGUACCAUCAGAAGAAGCCACGGCUAACUACGUGCCAGCAGCCGCGGUAAUACGUAGGGUGCGAGCGUUAAUCGGAAUUCCUGGGCGUAAAGCGUGCGAAGGAGGUGAUGUAAGACAGAUGUGAAAUCCCCGGGCUCAACCUGGGAACGGCGUUUGUGACUGCAUCACUCGAGUACGGCAGAGGGAGGUGGAAUUCCGCGUGUAGCAGUGAAAUGCGUAGAUAUGCGGAGGAACACCGAUGGCGAAGGCAGCCUCCUGGGCCAGUACUGACGCUCAUGCACGAAAGCGUGGGGAGCAAACA